GACGAACGCUGGCGGCGUGCUUAACACAUGCAAGUCGAACGGAAAGGCCUGCUUUCCCUUGUGGAUUGCGGGUACUCGAGUGGCGAACGGGUGAGUAACACGUGAGUGAUCUGCCCCCAACUUGGGUAUAAGCCUGGGAAACUGGGUCUAAUUCCCGAUAGGACUGCAGGGUGGUGCCUGUGGUGGAACACGAUUUUCUAGUGGUUGGGGAUGAGCUCGCGGCCUAUCAGCUUGUUGGUGGGGUAAUGGCCUACCAAGGCGGCGACGGGUAGCCGGCCUGAGAGGGUGGACGGCCACAUUGGGACUGGGAUACGGCCCAGACUCCUACGGGAGGCAGCAGUGGGGAAUAAUGCACAAUGGGCGGAAGCCUGAUGCAGCGACGCCGCGUGGGGGAUGACGGCCUUCGGGUUGUAAACUCCUUUCGACCGCGAGGAAGCCACCUGGUUGGAAGGGUGGUGACGGUAGUGGUAGAAGAAGCACCGGCUAACUACGUG
This 494-nucleotide ribosomal RNA is filed under the name uncultured bacterium. RNAcentral's name for it is "partial 16S ribosomal RNA". It matches the Rfam family "Bacterial small subunit ribosomal RNA", at positions 28 to 507 of the family's 1533-position model. The record is from RNAcentral.